CGGCGUGCCUAACACAUGCAAGUCGAGCGAAGCACUUUGCUUAGAUUCUUCGGAUGAAGAGGAUUGUGACUGAGCGGCGGACGGGUGAGUAACGCGUGGGUAACCUGCCUCAUACAGGGGGAUAACAGUUAGAAAUGACUGCUAAUACCGCAUAAGACCACAGCACCGCAUGGUGCGGGGGUAAAAACUCCGGUGGUAUGAGAUGGACCCGCGUCUGAUUAGCUAGUUGGUAAGGUAACGGCUUACCAAGGCGACGAUCAGUAGCCGACCUGAGAGGGUGACCGGCCACAUUGGGACUGAGACACGGCCCAAACUCCUACGGGAGGCAGCAGUGGGGAAUAUUGCACAAUGGGGGAAACCCUGAUGCAGCGACGCCGCGUGAGCGAAGAAGUAUUUCGGUAUGUAAAGCUCUAUCAGCAGGGAAGAAAAUGACGGUACCUGACUAAGAAGCACCGGCUAAAUACGUGCCAGCAGCCGCGGUAAUACGUAUGGUGCAAGCGUUAUCCGGAUUUACUGGGUGUAAAGGGAGCGUAGACGGAUGGGCAAGUCUGAUGUGAAAACCCGGGGCUCAACCCCGGGACUGCAUUGGAAACUGUUCAUCUAGAGUGCUGGAGAGGUAAGUGGAAUUCCUAGUGUAGCGGUGAAAUGCGUAGAUAUUAGGAGGAACACCAGUGGCGAAGGCGGCUUACUGGACAGUAACUGACGUUGAGGCUCGAAAGCGUGGGGAGCAAACAGGAUUAGAUACCCUGGUAGUCCACGCCGUAAACGAUGACUACUAGGUGUCGGGGGGCAAAGCCAUUCGGUGGCCGCAGCAGACGCCAAUAAGUAGUCCACAUGGGGAGUACGUUGGCAAGAAUGAAACUCAAAGGAAAUUGACGGGGACCCGCACAAGCGGUGGAGCAUGUGGGUUUAAUUCGAAGCAACGCGAAGAACCUUACCUGCUCUUGACAUCCCGCUGACCGGACGGUAAUGCGUCCUUCCCUUCGGGGCAGCGGAGACAGGUGGUGCAUGGUUGUCGUCAGCUCGUGUCGUGAGAUGUUGGGUUAAGUCCCGCAACGAGCGCAACCCCUAUCUUUAGUAGCCAGCGGCCAGGCCGGGCACUCUAGAGAGACUGCCGGGGAUAACCCGGAGGAAGGUGGGGAUGACGUCAAAUCAUCAUGCCCCUUAUGAGCAGGGCUACACACGUGCUACAAUGGCGUAAACAAAGGGAAGCGAGACCGCGAGGUGGAGCAAAUCCCAAAAAUAACGUCUCAGUUCGGAUUGUAGUCUGCAACUCGACUACAUGAAGCUGGAAUCGCUAGUAAUCGCGAAUCAGAAUGUCGCGGUGAAUACGUUCCCGGGUCUUGUACACACCGCCCGUCACACCAUGGGAGUCAGUAACGCCCGAAGUCAGUGACCCAACCGUAAGGAGGGAGCUGCCGAAGGCGGGACCGAUAACUGGGGUGAAG
Molecule: ribosomal RNA, 1448 nt
Filed under: uncultured organism
Description: SSU rRNA
Rfam family: Bacterial small subunit ribosomal RNA
Source: RNAcentral